This 78-nucleotide non-coding RNA is filed under the name Pseudonocardia autotrophica. Its description in RNAcentral is "L31-Actinobacteria ribosomal protein leader". It matches the Rfam family "L31-Actinobacteria ribosomal protein leader". Lineage: Bacteria; Bacillati; Actinomycetota; Actinomycetes; Pseudonocardiales; Pseudonocardiaceae. The record is from RNAcentral.
CCGGCUCCGGUUCACCCACAUCCGGGGGCUCCGCCCCCGGAAGCCCCCGAACGGCGAGGGGUGUGAGACCCGGCGGCC